RNAcentral lists this ribosomal RNA (431 nucleotides) under uncultured bacterium. Its description in RNAcentral is "partial 16S ribosomal RNA". It matches the Rfam family "Bacterial small subunit ribosomal RNA", at positions 29 to 507 of the family's 1533-position model. The record is from RNAcentral.
AACGAACGCUGGCGGCAGGCUUAACACAUGCAAGUCGAGCGCCCCGCAAGGGGAGCGGCAGACGGGUGAGUAACGCGUGGGAACGUACCUUUUGGUUCGGAACAACUCCGGGAAACUGGAGCUAAUACCGGAUAAGCCCUAACGGGGAAAGAUUUAUCGCCGAAAGAUCGGCCCGCGUCUGAUUAGCUAGUUGGUGAGGUAACGGCUCACCAAGGCGACGAUCAGUAGCUGGUCUGAGAGGAUGAUCAGCCACACUGGGACUGAGACACGGCCCAGACUCCUACGGGAGGCAGCAGUGGGGAAUAUUGGACAAGGGGCGCAAGCCUGAUCCAGCCAUGCCGCGGGAGUGAUGAAGGCCUUAGGGUUGUAAAGCUCUUUUGUCCGGGAAGAUAAUGACUGUACCGGAAGAAUAAGCCCCGGCUAACUUCGUG